UAGUCAUAUGCUUGUCUCAAAGAUUAAGCCAUGCAUGUCUAAGUAUAAACAAUUUAUACAGUGAAACUGCGAACGGCUCAUUAAAUCAGUCAUAGUUUAUUUGAUAUUGACUUGCUACAUGGAUAACCGUGGUAAUUCUAGAGCUAAUACAUGCGUAAAGGCCCUUUCGGGGGCUGUAUUUAUUAGAUUUAAGCCAACCCGGGCGACCGGCAGGUGGUGAUUCAUAGUAACUGGGCGAAUCGCUGCGGCGAUGCAUCAUUCAGAUUUCUGCCCUAUC
RNAcentral lists this ribosomal RNA (277 nucleotides) under uncultured eukaryote. RNAcentral's name for it is "partial 18S ribosomal RNA". It matches the Rfam family "Eukaryotic small subunit ribosomal RNA", at positions 21 to 316 of the family's 1831-position model. The record is from RNAcentral.